This 340-nucleotide unclassified non-coding RNA is filed under the name Hevea brasiliensis (rubber tree). Lineage: Eukaryota; Viridiplantae; Streptophyta; Magnoliopsida; Malpighiales; Euphorbiaceae. The record is from RNAcentral.
UACAUCCUCAUCAUCUCGAUCAAGAGCUCCGUGAUCCUCUUCAGCGCCAUUAUUAUCAUAUAUGGUGUACUGGAAUGCCUGGCUCAGAUUAUUUGCUAAAGCUGCUACAUCAUAAUCUCUGUUAUGAACAUCUUCCUCGUCGCUGUCUCUUGUCCUAUCUAGUAAUGCAGUUGGCCGGCCACAAGCCCAUCGAUAGACAUUUUCGAGUGUAUUACGCUCCUGUAAGACAGUAGUGUGCCAAUCACUCCAUUCCAUAUUUUUCUGGAGUAAAGAGAACCCAUUAGCAGAAGCGGAGCUGAAACUUGUGCACAAAAUCAUGUGCCAGAUAAAAGUAAUUGAA